Molecule: small RNA, 470 nt
Filed under: uncultured Diversispora
Lineage: Eukaryota; Fungi; Glomeromycota; Glomeromycetes; Diversisporales; Diversisporaceae
Description: SSU rRNA
Rfam family: Eukaryotic small subunit ribosomal RNA
Source: RNAcentral
AGCAGCCGCGGUAAUUCCAGCUCCAAUAGCGUAUAUUAAAGUUGUUGCAGUUAAAAAGCUCGUAGUUGAACUUCGGGGUUUACCCAUUGGUCAGGCUUAAUUGUCUGUACUGGUGAGAUAAAUCUCUACCUUCUGAGGAACUUUCAUGUCAUUAAUUUGGUGUGAUUGGAAAUCAGGACUGUUACUUUGAAAAAUUAGAGUGUUUAAAGCAGGCUAACGUCUGAAUACAUUAGCAUGGAAUAAUGAAAUAGGACGGACUGAUUCUAUUUCGUUGGUUUCUAGGAUCACCGUAAUGAUUAAUAGGGAUAGUUGGGGGCAUUAGUAUUCAAUUGUCAGAGGUGAAAUUCUUGGAUUUAUUGAAGACUAACUACUGCGAAAGCAUUUGCCAAGGAUGUUUUCAUUAAUCAAGAACGAAAGUUAGGGGAUCGAAGACGAUCAGAUACCGUCGUAGUCUUAACCAUAAACUAUGC